Molecule: ribosomal RNA, 810 nt
Filed under: uncultured bacterium
Lineage: Bacteria
Description: bacterial SSU rRNA
Rfam family: Bacterial small subunit ribosomal RNA
Source: RNAcentral
CAGUCGAACGGACUUUUCAUGAAGCCUAGCGAUUGAAAAGUUAGUGGCGGACGCGUUAGUAACGCGUGGGUAACCUGCCUUGUACUGGGGGACAACAGUUGGAAACGACUGCUAAUACCGCAUAAGCGCACAGCUUCGCACGAAGCAGUGUGAAAAACUCCGGUGGUGCAAGAUGGACCCGCGUCUGAUUAGCUGGUUGGUGAGGUAACGGCCCACCAAGGCAACGAUCAGUAGCCGGCCUGAGAGGGUGAACGGCCACAUUGGGACUGAGACACGGCCCAAACUCCUACGGGAGGCAGCAGUGGGGAAUAUUGCACAAUGGGGGAAACCCUGAUGCAGCAACGCCGCGUGAGUGAAGAAGUAUUUCGGUAUGUAAAGCUCUAUCAGCAGGAAAGAAAAUGACGGUACCUGACUAAGAAGCCCCGGCUAACUACGUGCCAGCAGCCGCGGUAAUACGUAGGGGGCAAGCGUUAUCCGGAUUUACUGGGUGUAAAGGGAGCGUAGACGGUUUUGCAAGUCUGAAGUGAAAGCCCGGGGCUUAACCCCGGGACUGCUUUGGAAACUGUAGAACUAGAGUGCAGGAGAGGUAAGUGGAAUUCCUGGCGUAGCGGUGAAAUGCGUAGAUAUUAGGAGGAACACCAGUGGCGAAGGCGGCUUACUGGACUGUAACUGACGUUGAGGCUCGAAAGCGUGGGGAGCAAACAGGAUUAGAUACCCUGGUAGUCCACGCCGUAAACGAUGAUUACUAGGUGUUGGUGGGUAUGACCCAUCGGUGCCGCAGCAAACGCAAUAAGUAAUCCACCUGGGGAG